This 254-nucleotide unclassified non-coding RNA is filed under the name uncultured Chlamydiales bacterium. RNAcentral describes it as "contains 16S-23S intergenic spacer region". It matches the Rfam family "Bacterial small subunit ribosomal RNA", at positions 524 to 776 of the family's 1533-position model. The record is from RNAcentral. Lineage: Bacteria; Pseudomonadati; Chlamydiota; Chlamydiia; Chlamydiales.
UACGGAGGGUGCAAGCGUUAAUCGGAUUUACUGGGCGUAAAGUGCGCGUAGGCGGAUCUGAAAGUCAGGUGUGAAAUUCCGUGGCUCAACCACGGAGCUGCACUUGAAACUUCAAGUCUCGAGGAUAGAGCGGGGGAAGCGGAAUUCCACGUGUAGCGGUGAAAUGCGUAGAUAUGUGGAGGAACACCGGUGGCGAAGGCGGCUUCCUAGCCUAUACCUGACGCUGAGGCGCGAAAGCGUGGGGAGCAAACAGG